Molecule: ribosomal RNA, 276 nt
Filed under: uncultured Staphylococcus sp.
Lineage: Bacteria; Bacillati; Bacillota; Bacilli; Caryophanales; Staphylococcaceae
Description: partial 16S ribosomal RNA
Rfam family: Bacterial small subunit ribosomal RNA
Source: RNAcentral
CUGACGUUAGCGGCGGACGGGUGAGUAACACGUGGGUAACCUACCUAUAAGACUGGGAUAACUCCGGGAAACCGGGGCUAAUACCGGAUAACACAUGAAACCGCAUGGUUUCAUGAUGAAAGACGGUUUUGCUGUCACUUAUAGAUGGACCCGCGGCGUAUUAGCUAGUUGGUAAGGUAACGGCUUACCAAGGCAACGAUACGUAGCCGACCUGAGAGGGUGAUCGGCCACACUGGAACUGAGACACGGUCCAGACUCCUACGGGAGGCAGCAGUG